CUGGGUGGCUUGGUUGGUUAAGCGUCCGACUUCAGCCAGGUCACGAUCUCGCGGUCCGUGAGUUCGAGCCCCGCGUCAGGCUCUGGGCUGAUGGCUCAGAGCCUGGAGCCUGUUUCCGAUUCUGUGUCUCCCUCUCUCUCUGCCCCUCCCCCGUUCAUGCUCUGUGUCGCUCUGUCCCAAAAAUAAGUAAACGUUGAAAAAAAAAAAUUAAUAUUAUGGGUCUUAAGCCUUUUUUUAAGGAAGCUCUCUCCCUUCACUAAAAACUGUCUUUUUCGUAUGCAAGUAAUAUUUACAUAAUAUGGUAUUUAUAUUUAUACAAUAUAACAUCUUGGUAUUUAAUAUAUCUGAAAUUAGUGUGGAUAUAUAAUGACAGAAAUGCAUCGAAUCAUCAUUUCAGACAAAUGGAUAGCCCAGUUUUCCAAUAGCACAUAUUGAAAAGUUCACACCUGCCCCACUAAAUUGAAAAAAAAUCUUUAACAAAUACUUAAUUUCCAUAGCUCUGUUUCUCAGUUCUGCUUGGCUCUAUUUGUGCUGGUAUAAAUCUGUUUGAAUUACUAUAGCAUCAGAGUGCAUUUUGCUAUCUGUUAGCUAGCUACUCACUCAGUGUUCCCUGAACAGCCUCAUUGCCUGAUCUCCUCCCUUCACCAGAAUGCCCUCGCCUUCUCUCCAAGUCACCCGUCCUUGACAUCCAAUUCAACAGGGGACAGCUGGCCUAGCAGCACGUGUCCCUCUGUGGGAGCGAAUAGCAAGGGGACCGGACCUGGUGCAGAGUGUGAGAGAGGGAUUCCUGGUGAAAGGGACAAUGACACGAAGGCUGAAGGCAAGACCUUGCAGGUUAGAAGCUUUCAUCCUGAGGUGCGACUGGAGGUUAGUGUUUGAGAAAGGGUGUGGAGAGUGGAGGGAGAGGUAGCUGCAGGGGAACUUUAUCCCCAGGGCAAGAGGAAGCUAUUGGGAGGUUUCAGCAAAUGUUAAGUGCAUCCAUUAUUUUUCUCAGGCUUGGUUCAAAGGAGUCAUGAAAUCAUGUUUGAAAAGUACAUUUGCAGCCUUUAAAAAGGAGUAUGAAGGAGGGGUGCCUGGGUGGCUCGGUUGGUUGAGCGACCGACUUCGACUCAGGUCAUGAUCUCACAGCUUGUGAGUUUGAGCCCCACGUCAGGCUCUGUGCUGACGGCUCAGAGCCCGGAUUCUGUGCCUCCCUGUCUCUCUGCCUUAACCCACUGGCAUUCUGUCUCUGUCUCUCUUCAAAAUAAAUAAACAUUAAAAAAAAUUUUUUUAAAGGAG
This 1278-nucleotide long non-coding RNA is filed under the name Felis catus (domestic cat). RNAcentral's name for it is "lncRNA (ENSFCAG00000044194.2)". Lineage: Eukaryota; Metazoa; Chordata; Mammalia; Carnivora; Felidae. The record is from RNAcentral.